GACGUAGGGCGCGAGCGUUGUCCGGAUUUAUUGGGCGUAAAGAGCUCGUAGGCGGCUUGUUGCGUCAGCUGUGAAAACCCGCAGCUCAACUGUGGGCUUGCAGCUGAUACGGGCAGGCUUGAGUUCGGUAGGGGAGACUGGAAUUCCUGGUGUAGCGGUGAAAUGCGCAGAUAUCAGGAAGAACACCGGUGGCGAAGGCGGCUCACUGGCUCGUUUCUGACGCUCAGGCGCGAUAGCGUGGGGAUCAAACAGG
This 253-nucleotide ribosomal RNA is filed under the name uncultured bacterium. RNAcentral's name for it is "partial 16S ribosomal RNA". It matches the Rfam family "Bacterial small subunit ribosomal RNA", at positions 524 to 776 of the family's 1533-position model. The record is from RNAcentral.